UAGCCAUUGAGCAGGGGGGAUCUUUUUGUGCUAACACCUACUGCAACAUGGGGCCUCGGUUUCUACGGCCUCAUCCGAAGGACCGGUCUCGACGUCCCAGAGUGGGAUUCGAACCUGUGACAUAAUUUAAGCUUAUCAGAUACUACAGGUGUUUCUCAAAGUUCUACAUAUGAUAACCGUUUUCCAUAUUAUGCAAUUGAUGAUAAUGUUGAGACGACAUUUUUGAAGUGCGCACAUACCAAACCUAAUGUUCUAUUACCAGCCUGGUUUGAGAUAGACUUGGGGAAACCCUAUAGUCUAUUAAAUAUCCAUGUUCUCUUUAGAAAUAAAGUUUCACACACCUGGCAACCGCAUAGAGCUAGACAGUUUUAUAUUGAUGUAUCAAAUUCCUCUGCAUCAACUACAAACACCAGUGAGAGGAUUCGUUGUUACAAAGAUACAACAGUUGCUCCAUACCUUCCAAGCAAUCCUUCAAUAGCUCUCUGUAGGCAAACAGCAAGAUUUGUUAUUAUUGAGUCAACAUACGAUUCACCGGAAGAUACUGAGUACUUUGGAGCCAUUCUAGAGAUCUGUGAAGUAAAAGUUGUCGGAUGUGAAAUUGGAAGAUAUGGGCCUUUCUGUUUCAUGUGUCCGAACUGUUCUCUUUGUGACAUAGAAACAGGAAUCUGUUCUAGGU
Molecule: long non-coding RNA, 676 nt
Organism: Saccostrea cuccullata (small rock oyster)
Lineage: Eukaryota; Metazoa; Mollusca; Bivalvia; Ostreida; Ostreidae
Exons: 4
Source: RefSeq, a predicted model, not a curated record